RNAcentral lists this ribosomal RNA (403 nucleotides) under uncultured bacterium. RNAcentral describes it as "partial 16S ribosomal RNA". It matches the Rfam family "Bacterial small subunit ribosomal RNA", at positions 30 to 526 of the family's 1533-position model. The record is from RNAcentral.
AUUGAACGCUGGCGGCAGGCCUAACACAUGCAAGUCGAGCGAGCGGCGGACGGGUGAGUAAUGUAUGGGGACUGCCCGAUAGAGGGGGAUAACUACUGGAAACGGUAGCUAAUAUCGCUAACUAUCGGAUAACCCAUAUGGGAUUAGCUAGUAGGUGAGGUAAUGGCUCACCUAGGCGACGACCCCUAGCUGGUCGGAGAGGAUGAUCAGCCACACUGGGACUGGGACACGGCCCAGACUCCUACGGAGGCAGCAGUGGGGAAUAUUGGACAAUGGGCGCAAGCCUGAUGCAGCCAUGCGGCGUGUAUGAAGAAGGCCCUGGGGUGGUAAAGUACUUUCAGUCGGGAGGCGUUACCGACAGAAGAAGCACCGGCUAACUCCGUGCCAGCCGCCGCGGUAAUUC